RNAcentral lists this ribosomal RNA (444 nucleotides) under uncultured bacterium. Its description in RNAcentral is "SSU rRNA". It matches the Rfam family "Bacterial small subunit ribosomal RNA", at positions 26 to 518 of the family's 1533-position model. The record is from RNAcentral.
AGGAUGAACGCUGGCGGUCUGCUUAACACAUGCAAGUCGAACGGAGUAGCAAUACUUAGUGGCGGACGGGUGAGUAACGCGUGAGAAUCUACCUUCAGGACGGAGACAACAGUUGGAAACGACUGCUAACCCCCGAUGUACUGAAAAGGCAAAUAUUUAUAGCCUGAAGAAGAGCUCGCGUCCGAUUAGCUAGUUGGAGAGGUAAAAGCUCACCAAGGCGACGAUCGGUAGCUGGUCUGAGAGGACGAUCAGCCACACUGGGACUGAGACACGGCCCAGACUCCUACGGGAGGCAGCAGUGGGGAAUAUUGGACAAGUGGGCGCAAGCCUGAUCCAGCAAUGCCGCGUGGAUGAAGUAAGGUUUUCGGAUUGUAAAGUCCUUUGGCGGGACGAUGAUGACGGUACCCGCAGAAGAACGCCCGGCUAACUCGCGCCAGCAGCCGC